UGCGUUGUUUUUUUAUUCGCGAUUUGGUAUGCAUAAAGUAUGCAUUUAGCAUAGGGACCGAAGCGACACGCGUUGGCGAUUCGGUCACUAUCCGUUAGUCAGGCCUCAACCGUCUGCUGUUAGAGUAAUGGUCGAUCGUCGCGUGAAGCCUAGGUUUCUCGUAAAAAAAAUUAGAGUCAGUGGAUUAGUCCGAUCGGGGGGAAACCACUUAAAACAAAAAUCGUGAAAAGUUCCACCUUAAAAGUUCUACUUUUCCCUAUUCUUUUCCUAUUCCUUUUAAUAUUUUCUUUGCAGGAUAAACUAUGAUGCCAAAUUCCGUCCAAGAGAAGAAGGAAACGAACCUUAGGAGGACUGAGUUAUGAUAACAAUUCCGACCAAGAGGAAGGGGAUGUGGAUUAGAAGAUGGACCAGAAGUGGACUAAGUUAUGGUAAAUGGUAGUAAAAAAUAAUUAUUUCUAUAAGUAAAUGAAUAUUUUUAAUCAGUUUAUUGUUUCAUAUAACCAUUCCGUCCAAGAGGAGAGGAAAGUGGAUUAGAAGAUGACUAGAAGAGGACAGAGUAAUGGUAAACGAUGCCACGGAUCAACCAAAAAUUAUAUGCAUUUAUUUU
This 607-nucleotide long non-coding RNA is filed under the name Polistes fuscatus (common paper wasp). RNAcentral's name for it is "uncharacterized LOC122518142". Lineage: Eukaryota; Metazoa; Arthropoda; Insecta; Hymenoptera; Vespidae. The record is from RNAcentral.